CUGCCAUAUCACGUUUAAACACCAGUUCCUGUACGAUCACCGAAUUUAAGCAAAGUCGAGCCUGGUCAGUACCUAGAUGUGGUACUGCUUCGUAAUACCAGGAGCUGUAA
Acanthosepion pharaonis is the source of this 110-nucleotide non-coding RNA. The record is from the annotation of a GenBank genome assembly. NCBI's taxonomy places the organism in Eukaryota, Metazoa, Mollusca, Cephalopoda, Sepiida, Sepiidae.